UACGAGGGGUGCGAAGCGUUGCUCGGAAUUAUUGGGCGUAAAGGGUUGGUAGGUGGUCUUGUUUGUCUAAGGUGAAAUCCCAUGGGCUUAACUGUGGAAGCUGCCUUAGAAACGGCAAGACUAGAGUCCUAGAGGGGUUUGUGGAAUUCCCGGUGUAGCGGUGAAAUGCGUAGAGAUCGGGAGGAACACCAGCGGCGAAGGCGGCAAACUGGAUAGGCACUGACACUCAACAACGAAAGCGUGGGGAGCAAACAGG
Molecule: ribosomal RNA, 256 nt
Filed under: uncultured bacterium
Lineage: Bacteria
Description: partial 16S ribosomal RNA
Rfam family: Bacterial small subunit ribosomal RNA
Source: RNAcentral